Molecule: long non-coding RNA, 1837 nt
Organism: Equus caballus (horse)
Lineage: Eukaryota; Metazoa; Chordata; Mammalia; Perissodactyla; Equidae
Source: Ensembl
CCCAAAUGUUCACGGUCUCACUAGUGGGAAGAUCCAUGCACCUGAGAACAAGAGAUCAGACUUAGACUGUUGGAUUUGCUUCUUACCAGCUUGUGAAGCAUUGAGCAAAAUGCUUAAAUCCUCCAGGCCUCAGUUUCCCCUCUAUUAAAUGGAGAUUGCUAUCUACCUCAUAGGGCUAGAGUGAGGAUUAAAGGAAUUAAUUCCUAUUAAAUGCUUCGAAGAGUUGCUGACACAUAGUAGUGCUCAGUAAAUGGCUGCGACACCUUGGUUUCUUCUUUAAAGUGGGAGUUAUCAGACCGAAUUUCACUACUUCUGAGGAUUGUGGAGCAGGAGGAAUGAGCUAAUAGAGCCCAUUCAAGAAUUACCUGAGUUGUUCCCUUGGAAAACCAUGGCCUAAGAAGAUCCAAUGAGCGUCACAAGAUGGAUGAAGUCCAAGUAGCUUUCUUAAGACAAGCGGUGGAAGCCACAUGGUGAGGAUGGUGGAGCAAUGAAACAUAAGAUGUCACCUUACUAGUCUUGGACUGCUUACUUCUGGAUUCUGCUAUAUGAGAGACAAAUAGACCUCUAUAUUGUCUGAGCUCUGUUAUUUCAGAUUUUUUGUCUUUCAGAGUUGACAUAAAUCUUAACUGAUGUAAGAUCACACAGCUAGUUACUAGUACAGCUGAGCUUUAAGCUCAGUUCUUUUGACUCCAAAUUCAGUUGUUUUUAUUUUGCUUCGUCGCAACUGGCAUCUUCACUUGCCUUACUUACAGAGCUUCUGUGAAAAUGAAAUGAGGAAACAGGUAAGAGAGCACUUUGUAAACUGUGAGGCCUCAUUUAUAUGUGAGCAGAAGCAGAAUUUUGCAUUUGUGGAGAGCUGUGGAAAAAUACUUAAUGCCUUAGCUUGCUUGUUGGUUGAACAGGUAGGGGGGAAAAAAAACAAAAAGCCAUGUUGUGCUAGAGACCUGGAUUCCACAUGCACCGGAAACUCCUUUGGCUAAUUCUUAGGCCAAAAGAUGCCUUUCAAGUGGGGAAGGAUGAGUUAGUCCUGAGCGUCCAGGACCUCUCUGACUAGCUGUGGUUUAAUGCUGCCCAAACUUUUGUGUAAACACACCUACAGCCUAAGUAAAAUAGGAAGGAUUGGGGAUCUGAAUUGCCCUACUUGGGAUAUUCUCUGUGUCCAACAACUCCUCAUGAAGGAAAUUGUAUUAGUAAUAAGUCAAAUUCCUAGUGCUGGAAUUUGAGUUGCUUCAGGAGUGAGUGCAAGGUUUUCAGAGGCUUGUUUGCUUUAUGAAGAGUAUUGGGGUCAGUCUUUGCUGGCCAGAGGUCUCUAACCAGAGACAGGUUUUCACACAGGGCUUUUCAUAUUUUCUGUCUUGAGCCAGACUCAAAUACCGAGAAGUCUCUUGGGGGUAUUUUUGCAAGUUCACUCUUUUUCUUUCACAACUGGCAAAGGCAACAAAAGCCAAUGCUUAGAAGGUAUGCAUAUGCUCUGAACACUUUGUUCAGACUCCUUUGAAAGUUAUUGGGUUGCAUCCCGAAGCAAACAUUUGGAACAUUCUGGAGUUGUUUUGAGUCCUCAUCGCAUGAUUCAAGUCUGAUAAUACCCCACUAUGAAAAUAUAGGGCAAAAUAUAGUCACAGCUCAAGAGGCAAGUCAAGGAAUUACAGUCGCUGUUAGGAGUAGGGUGAGGAAAUCAUAAUCAUAAUAAUAUCUGACACUCAAUGAGCAUAUUUAUGCAGCAGACACUAUACUAGCCCUUUACAUAUGUUGUUUUACUUGAUCCUCCUAACAGUUCUAUGUGCCAGAAUGAUUAAAAAUAUUUAACAGCAAGUAGAACACAGCAUUGGUAGGUGAG